RNAcentral lists this ribosomal RNA (253 nucleotides) under uncultured bacterium. RNAcentral describes it as "partial 16S ribosomal RNA". It matches the Rfam family "Bacterial small subunit ribosomal RNA", at positions 524 to 776 of the family's 1533-position model. The record is from RNAcentral.
UACGUAGGGUCCGAGCGUUGUCCGGAAUUACUGGGCGUAAAGAGCUCGUAGGUGGUUUGUCGCGUUGUUCGUGAAAACUCACAGCUCAACUGUGGGCGUGCGGGCGAUACGGGCAGACUUGAGUACUGCAGGGGAGACUGGAAUUCCUGGUGUAGCGGUGAAAUGCGCAGAUAUCAGGAGGAACACCAGUGGCGAAGGCGGUGCUCUGGGCCGGAACUGACGCUGAGGAGCGAAAGCGUGGGGAGCAAACAGG